RNAcentral lists this ribosomal RNA (229 nucleotides) under uncultured bacterium. RNAcentral's name for it is "partial 16S ribosomal RNA". It matches the Rfam family "Bacterial small subunit ribosomal RNA", at positions 1272 to 1500 of the family's 1533-position model. The record is from RNAcentral.
UCCCUAAAAGCCAUCCCAGUUCGGAUCGCAGGCUGCAACCCGCCUGCGUGAAGUUGGAAUCGCUAGUAAUCGCGGAUCAGCAUGCCGCGGUGAAUACGUUCCCGGGCCUUGUACACACCGCCCGUCACACCAUGAGAGUUAGGAAUACCCGAAGCCUGUGAGCCAACUUUAUAAGAGGCAGCAGUCGAAGGUAGAACUAAUGAUUGGGGUGAAGUCGUAACAAGGUAUC